GGGUAACCUGCCUAUAAGACUGGGAUAACUCCGGGAAACCGGGGCUAAUACCGGAUAAUAUUUUGAACCGCAUGGUUCGAAAUUGAAAGGCGGCUUCGGCUGUCACUUAUGGAUGGACCCGCGUCGCAUUAGCUAGUUGGUGAGGUAACGGCUCACCAAGGCAACGAUGCGUAGCCGACCUGAGAGGGUGAUCGGCCACACUGGGACUGAGACACGGCCCAGACUCCUACGGGAGGCAGCAGUAGGGAAUCUUCCGCAAUGGACGAAAGUCUGACGGAGCGACGCCGCGUGAGUGAUGAAGGUUUUCGGAUUGUAAAGCUCUGUUGUUAGGGAAGAACAAGUACCGUUCGAAUAGGGCGGUACCUUGACGGUACCUAACCAGAAAGCCACGGCUAACUACGUGCCAGCAGCCGCGGUAAUACGUAGGUGGCAAGCGUUGUCCGGAAUUAUUGGGCGUAAAGGGCUCGCAGGCGGUUUCUUAAGUCUGAUGUGAAAGCCCCCGGCUC
Molecule: ribosomal RNA, 506 nt
Filed under: uncultured Bacillus sp.
Lineage: Bacteria; Bacillati; Bacillota; Bacilli; Caryophanales; Bacillaceae
Description: bacterial SSU rRNA
Rfam family: Bacterial small subunit ribosomal RNA
Source: RNAcentral